This is a long non-coding RNA of Pecten maximus, 2261 nucleotides long. RefSeq lists it as uncharacterized. The record is from RefSeq and is a predicted model, not a curated record. The transcript is spliced from 4 exons. Lineage: Eukaryota; Metazoa; Mollusca; Bivalvia; Pectinida; Pectinidae.
UCAAAGUUGAAAAAACGGCAAAUCCAUAAAGAAAAUACACUCUUAUGAAAAAUUCUUAUUGAAGUUUUGGCGAUAUGUAACCCCUAGAAUUAAAAAAUAAUAAUUUUCUGGGGAAUCCUCUCACUGUCGAAUGACGAGAUAAAAUGCAAAUUUCCCGCUUUGGGCGCAUGCGCAAGAAUCUAGGCAAGUAGAACGUAAACAUAAGCGGCAGAAACAUGGCUUCCGAAGCCAAGAGAUGUCGGCCUAGAAUUGUAACGAGUUCGGCAACAUAGCGACGUAAAUAGAAAUGGUCACAGGUCAACCCGAUUAUACGACUGGGGAAACAACCCACUAGGUGGAAGACAUUCAAUGAAGAAAAUUGUUUCUCUACAAACGAGCAUGCAGCACGGAUUCUUCUGGAUAAGUGUGCACUUCAUUGACACAAGAAGUUCAUGCAGGUGAAGACAUCCCGACACCAGCUGAAACUUCUAUGGGACCGCCAUCACAUGUGUGCACCCCUACACCAGUAACAUCUACGCCUGCACAUGCCCAUAAAGAACCUAUAGCUAUAGAUAGACCUCCGAUGUCUCAGAUAUAGAAGCUCAGUCAUCACACUCGUCUGAUUUAUCUUGUGUGGAAGCAUUACAAUCAGACUCCUAGAGUAACAUUAAUGCCAGCUUGCUUUCCCAUUACCAACAGAAGGCUAAAGAGGAUGACACCUCAUUUAUUGAUAUACCUCAGACACAUCAACCUGAACACUUGCCAAUGGCUGAAGAUCCCAUAGAAAUUGAAGAGGUUGAUGUUGAUGAUGAGCUUGCAGAGGAUGAAGGAGACAUUGUGGAAACAGACACUCAAAAUGAUAGUGUUGAAGAAAGGAAAUCCAUAUGCUUCCAAAGUGCUCUGUUGUAACUCACUACAGUUCGAAUACCCACAACUUGUCAAAGAAAAGCAUGUGGUGCAAAUAUCAUUCUCCAAUGGAGAUAUGUUGGAUGUGCAGUACAGUUUAAAUGAAUUGGAGGAGCAGCAUUUGGUUCUAGUCCUGGAUCCUCUGGUUCACCUACAUUUUCGCAAAGGUCAAAAACUAGGCCUGGCUGACGAUACACUAGCUGAAGAACUAAAUUUAUCAGUGGCUUUGGGUCCAUCCUUCUGAUUAUAUCCUAAUACAUAAAACAAUUAUUAUAGAAAAAACCCAUGUGGGUGGGAGUACUGUAGCAUUCUAAUGUAUAAAAAUAACUGUUUUUCCUUAUUUUUGGUUUUUGAGUUGAUAAAUUUUAAUGCACUUAUUAACUUAUCUAUUUUCCCUCAAAUUUCAUCCCAAAUUUUUCUACUAAGGUUUUAUUUAAGGUAUGUAUGCGUUUUUUGAUAGUUUGUGGAAGUAAGUAUGGUGUAAAUGUGGUGUUCAAUUUCAGAACAUGUAGGAGGUAGGUGUUCACUUAAUGGUGUAUUGCAGGUGUUUACAUUUCAGUACUAGUGUGUGUUUGAGAGUGUUCACUUGACAGUAAAUGCAGGUGUUCUUUCAACAUUGUGUGUAGGAAGUGUUCAAUUAUCAGUUUGCAGGAAGUGUUCACUUAUCAGUUUGUGUAGGAAGUGUUCACUAGCAGUGUGUAUAGGAAGUGUUCACUAUCAGUGUGUGUAGGAAGUGUUCACUUAUCAGUGUGUGUAGGAAGUGUUCAAUUAUCAGUGUGUGUAGGAAUUAUUCACUAUCAGUUUGUAGGAAGUGUUCAAUUAUCAGUGUGUGUAGGAAGUGUUCACUAUCAGUUUGUAGGAAGUGUUCAAUUAUCAGUGUGUGUAGGAAGUGUUCACUAUCAGUUUGUAGGAAGUGUUCAAUUAUCAGUGUUUAUACGAAGUGCUCACUUGUGAGAAUGUGUUUGAGGUGCACGUGUGUACUAACAUUGUGUGUAGUUAUUAUUAACUUAUAAUAACAUUGUGUUCAUAGAUGGUUCAUUCUGAUAAAUGUGUUAAUCAAGUGUCUAGUUGCAUAUUUUUUCAAUAUUCUGUGAACUAAAAUGAAAUACCCCCAUGUGUAAUGUAAAUACCUACCUAGAGAAACAGGUCUUAUAACCAUACCAUUCACUUGGUUGGUUAAAAAUUAGGUGUUCAUACACAUAUGGGAAGUAUGUUUGAUGUGUGAGAGGGUCUGUGCAUUUUUGGUAAAAUUUAACACUUUCAGUGAGUAAUAGUAUAAAUUGUCUCCUGAAUGCUUUGGUAAAAUGUCUACUGUUCUUUUUGUCUGUGUACAUGCCAAAGAAAUAUCAAAAUAAAAAAGAUAUGAAAAGAAAUAA